Molecule: ribosomal RNA, 373 nt
Filed under: Brachyspira pilosicoli
Lineage: Bacteria; Pseudomonadati; Spirochaetota; Spirochaetia; Brachyspirales; Brachyspiraceae
Description: bacterial SSU rRNA
Rfam family: Bacterial small subunit ribosomal RNA
Source: RNAcentral
CAAUUGGCGAUGCGUCUUAAGCAUUCAAGUCGAGCGGGCUUAUUGGGCAAAGGAUAAGUCAGCGGCGAACUGGUGAGUAACACGUAGGUAAUCUGCCGUGAAGUGGGGGAUAACCCAUGGAAACAUGGACUAAUACCGCAUAUACUCUUGCUACAUAAGUAGAGUAGAGGAAAGUUUUUUCGCUUCACGAUGAGCCUGCGGCCUAUUAGCCUGUUGGUAGGGUAAUGGCCUACCAAAGCUACGAUAGGUAGCCGACCUGAGAGGGUGACCGGCCACAUUGGGACUGAGAUACGGCCCAGACUCCUACGGGAGGCAGCAGCUGAGAAUCUUCCACAAUGGACGAAAGUCCUGCAUCGCGUGAGGGAUGAACUUC